Molecule: ribosomal RNA, 222 nt
Filed under: uncultured bacterium
Lineage: Bacteria
Description: partial 16S ribosomal RNA
Rfam family: Bacterial small subunit ribosomal RNA
Source: RNAcentral
AGUAAUAUAUCGGAACGUACCCUGGAGUGGGGGAGUAACGUAGCGAAGUUACGCUAAUACCGCAUACGAUCUAAGGAUGAAAGUGGGGGAUCGCAAGACCUCAUGCUCCUGGAGCGGCCGAUAUCUGAUUAGCUAGUUGGUGGGGUAAAGGCCUACCAAGGCAUCGAUCAGUAGCUGGUCUGAGAGGACGACCAGCCACACUGGAACUGAGACACGGUCCAG